This 302-nucleotide ribosomal RNA is filed under the name uncultured Enterobacteriaceae bacterium. RNAcentral's name for it is "bacterial SSU rRNA". It matches the Rfam family "Bacterial small subunit ribosomal RNA", at positions 1074 to 1382 of the family's 1533-position model. The record is from RNAcentral. Lineage: Bacteria; Pseudomonadati; Pseudomonadota; Gammaproteobacteria; Enterobacterales; Enterobacteriaceae.
UGGUAAGUCCGCAACGAGCGCAACCCUUAUCCUUGUUGCCAGCGGUCCGGCCGGGAACUCAAAGGAGACUGCCAGUGAUAAACUGGAGGAAGGUGGGGAUGACGUCAAGUCAUCAUGGCCCUUACGACCAGGGCUACACACGUGCUACAAUGGCGCAUACAAAGAGAAGCGACCUCGCGAGAGCAAGCGGACCUCAUAAAGUGCGUCGUAGUCCGGAUUGGAGUCUGCAACUCGACUCCAUGAAGUCGGAAUCGCUAGUAAUCGUGGAUCAGAAUGCCACGGUGAAUACGUUCCCGGGCCUU